RNAcentral lists this ribosomal RNA (378 nucleotides) under uncultured archaeon. Its description in RNAcentral is "bacterial SSU rRNA". It matches the Rfam family "Archaeal small subunit ribosomal RNA", at positions 691 to 1068 of the family's 1478-position model. The record is from RNAcentral.
CCGACGGUGAGGGGCGAAAGCUGGGGGAGCAAACCGGAUUAGAUACCCGGGUAGUCCCAGCCGUAAACGAUGUGCGUUAGGUGUAUCGGUGACCUCGAGUCACCGAGGUGCCGAAGAGAAAUCGUGAAACGUACCGCCUAGGAAGUACGGUCGCAAGGCUGAGACUUAAAGGAAUUGGCGGGGGAGCACCACAACAGGUGGAGCCUGCGGUUUAAUCGGACUCAACGCCGGGAAACUCACCAGAUAAGACAGCUGAAUGAUAGUCGGGCUGAAGACUCUACUUGACUAGCUGAGAGGAGGUGCAUGGCCGUCGUCAGUUCGUACUGUGAAGCAUCCUGUUAAGUCAGGCAACGAGCGAGACCCACGCCAACAGUUGCU